This 492-nucleotide ribosomal RNA is filed under the name uncultured bacterium. Its description in RNAcentral is "partial 16S ribosomal RNA". It matches the Rfam family "Bacterial small subunit ribosomal RNA", at positions 29 to 507 of the family's 1533-position model. The record is from RNAcentral.
AGUGAACGCUGGCGGUAGGCCUAACACAUGCAAGUCGAACGGCAGCACAGUAAGCGCUUGCUCUUACGGGUGGCGACUGGCGGACGGGUGAGGAAUACAUCGGAAUCUACUUUUUCGUGGGGGAUUACGUAGGGACACUUACGCUAAUACAGCAUACGAUCUACGGGUGAAAGCAGGGGAUCUUCGCACCUUGCGCGUCUGAAUGAGCCGAUGUCGGAGUAGCUAGUUGGCGGGGUAAAGGCCCACCAAGGCGACGAUCCGUAGCUGGUCUGAGAGGAUGAACAGCCACACUGGAACUGAGACACGGUCCAGACUCCUACGGGAGGCAGCAGUAGGGAAUAUUGGGCAAUGGGCGCAAGCCUGAUGCAGCCAUACCGCGUGGGUGAAGAAGGCCUUCGGGUUGUAAAGCCCUUUUGUUGGGAAAGAAAAGCAGCAUGUGAAUACCCCGCUGUUCUGACGGUACCCAAAGAAUAAGCACCGGCUAACUUCGUG